UGAGGAAUAUUGGUCAAUGGGCGCAAGCCUGAACCAGCCAUCCCGCGUGCAGGAAGACGGCGCUAUGCGUUGUAAACUGCUUUUCCAGGGAGAGAAACUUGCGCACGUGUUGCGCAAUUGACGGUACCCUGGGAAUAAGCAUCGGCUAACUCCGUGCCAGCAGCCGCGGUCAUACGGAGGAUGCGAGCGUUAUCCGGAUUCAUUGGGUUUAAAGGGUGCGUAGGCGGACUAUUAAGUCAGUGGUGAAAUCCUGCAGCUUAACUGCAGAACUGCCAAUGAUACUGAUAGCCUUGAGUUUGGUUAAGGUAGGCGAAAUGUGUAAUGUAGCGGUGAAAUGCUUAGAUAUUACACAGAACACCAAUUGCGUAGGCAGCUUACUGAGCCGACACUGACGCUGAGGCACGAAAGCGUGGGGAUCGAACAG
This 424-nucleotide ribosomal RNA is filed under the name uncultured bacterium. RNAcentral's name for it is "bacterial SSU rRNA". It matches the Rfam family "Bacterial small subunit ribosomal RNA", at positions 355 to 775 of the family's 1533-position model. The record is from RNAcentral.